Molecule: transfer RNA, 72 nt
Filed under: Ictidomys tridecemlineatus (thirteen-lined ground squirrel)
Lineage: Eukaryota; Metazoa; Chordata; Mammalia; Rodentia; Sciuridae
Description: Spermophilus tridecemlineatus (thirteen-lined ground squirrel) tRNA
Rfam family: tRNA
About the family: Transfer RNA (tRNA) molecules are approximately 80 nucleotides in length. Their secondary structure includes four short double-helical elements and three loops (D, anti-codon, and T loops).
Source: Rfam by way of RNAcentral
UGGGUUGUGGCUCAGGGGUAGAGCACUUGCCUGGCAUGUAUGAGGUACUGGGUUCGAUCCUCAGCACCGCAU